GAUGAACGCUGGCGGCGUGCCUAAUACAUGCAAGUCGAGCGAACAGACGAGGAGCUUGCUCCUCUGACGUUAGCCGCGGACGGGUGAGUAACACGUGGAUAACCUACCUAUAAGUCUGGGAUAACUUCGGGAAACCGGAGCUUAUACCGGAUAAUAUAUUGAACCGCAUGGUUCAAUAGUGAAAGACGGCUUUGCUGUCACUUCUAGAUGGAUCCGCGCCGCAUUAGCUAGUUGGUAAGGUAACGGCUUACCAAGGCAACGAUGCGUAGCCGACCUGAGAGGGUGAUCGGCCACACGAGAGCGGGGACACGGACCAGACUCCUGCGGGAGGGAGCAGUAGGGAAUGUGCCGCAAUGGGCGAGAGCUUGGCGGAGCAACGCCGCGUGAGUGAUGGAGGUCUUCGGAUCGUAAAACUCUGUUAUUAGGGAAGAACAAAUGUGUAAGUAACUAUGCACGUCUUGACGGUACCUAAUCAGAAAGCCACGGCUAACUACGUG
RNAcentral lists this ribosomal RNA (497 nucleotides) under uncultured bacterium. RNAcentral describes it as "partial 16S ribosomal RNA". It matches the Rfam family "Bacterial small subunit ribosomal RNA", at positions 28 to 507 of the family's 1533-position model. The record is from RNAcentral.